This 360-nucleotide long non-coding RNA is filed under the name Medicago truncatula (barrel medic). RNAcentral describes it as "long non-coding RNA (MTRU_LNC000581)". The record is from RNAcentral. Lineage: Eukaryota; Viridiplantae; Streptophyta; Magnoliopsida; Fabales; Fabaceae.
CUUCAGCGUUGUAAGGCCGGUUCAGUUUCUUCUUCUUCCUUCACGCUCCGAUCCGAUCUUCUUCCUCUCUCCGAUCCGGUUGCGUUCCAAGCUGGUACCUCUGAUUCGUUUUGUUGUUGACGAGUUGUACGGAUUCGUGAAUCAGUGCUUACUGGAUUCACGAUCUGAACUGAUUGUGUGUUUGGAUCGGAAACUAUGAUCGAACUCCGUGUAUUGGUUAUCCGGAGGAUUCGUGUUGCUGUGAAUCGGUUUGUAUGGAGGGGUUUGGAAAAUUGUUGGAUUGGUUGUUUCAAGUUUGUGUGAUCCGAAAAUGGGUAGAGAAAAGGAAAAUUAGGGUUUUUGUGAUUUGACUGUGCGGCU